Molecule: ribosomal RNA, 482 nt
Filed under: uncultured bacterium
Lineage: Bacteria
Description: partial 16S ribosomal RNA
Rfam family: Bacterial small subunit ribosomal RNA
Source: RNAcentral
AUUGAACGCUGGCGGCAUGCUUUACACAUGCAAGUCGAACGGUAACAGGCCGCAAGGUGCUGACGAGUGGCGAGCGGGUGAGUAAUGCAUCGGAACGUGCCCAGUCGUGGGGGAUAACUACUCGAAAGAGUAGCUAAUACCGCAUACGAUCUAUGGAUGAAAGCGGGGGACCGUAAGGCCUCGCGCGAUUGGAGCGGCCGAUGUCCGAUUAGGUAGUUGGUGGGGUAAAGGCUCACCAAGCCAACGAUCUGUAGCUGGUCUGAGAGGACGACCAGCCACACUGGGACUGAGACACGGCCCAGACUCCUGCGGGAGGCAGCAGUGGGGAAUUUUGGACAAUGGGCGCAAGCCUGAUCCAGCAAUGCCGCGUGCAGGAAGAAGGCCUUCGGGUUGUAAACUGCUUUUGUACGGAACGAAACGGCUCUGGUUAAUACCCGGGGCUAAUGACGGUACCGUAAGAAUAAGCACCGGCUAACUACGUG